RNAcentral lists this long non-coding RNA (354 nucleotides) under Heterocephalus glaber (naked mole-rat). RNAcentral describes it as "lncRNA (ENSHGLG00100033205.1)". The record is from RNAcentral. Lineage: Eukaryota; Metazoa; Chordata; Mammalia; Rodentia; Bathyergidae.
UGUGAGAAAUCUGAUCAUCACCUCAUGUUGGGAAACAAACAACUACUCCGGAAGCCUCCCCUAAUUUCCCGAGAAUCUUGAUUUGCCUAAGGAUACUCUGAGCACAAGCUCAGAGCCGGGCAAUCAUCGUGAUUCACAUGUGGAUUCAUAUUGUACAGGCGUAACUGAGGGUUCUGAGAUGAAGAGGCCACUCUGAAGUCCAGUGACACGUGUCCUGAAAAAGGACACACAGAAGAAAGGGAGGCACAAAGCCAGAAUUGAACACCACACUCCAGAGUGCUGACGGCGAGCUGAAGCGUCAGGGAAGGAUCUUCGGCAGAACCUCCAGGGGGCGCUGUCCUGCAAACACGGAAG